ACCUGACCGCCAUGUGUCUCUCCUCCUCCCCACCUCGUGGCUGGCAGCAGCCCUCCAGCUUUGGCUCCGUGGACUGGCUCUGCCUGAGCAGCUGCUCAGGGUCGACCCACACCCCCAGGCCUGCCGACGUCUCCCCCGGGAGCCUCCCUGGCCCGGGCCAGACGUUCGGCACCCGGGAGCCCCCUCAGGCUGUCAGUACCAAGGAGGCUAGCUCGUCAAAUCUGCAUGCGCCGGAGAGGACUGUGGCUGGGUUGAGUAAGGAGCCAAACCCCUAGCUGGCUCCCGGUGUCCGCACAGCCUUCACCACGGAGCAGGUCCGUGCCUUGGAGGGCGUCUUCCGGCACCACCAGUACCUGGGCCCUCUGGAGCGGAAUUGGCUGGCCAGGGAGAUGCAGCUCUCAGAGGUCCAGAUAAAAACCUGGUUUCAAAAUCGCCGGAUGAAACACAAACGGCAAAUGCAGGACUCCCAGCUAAACGGCCCCUUAUCGGGGUCUCUCCACGGGCCCCCUGCUUUCCACUCACCAUCUUCUGGCCUUGCCAAUGGCCUGCAGCUGCUGUGCCCUUGGGCACCCCUGCCUGGGUCCCCUGGCUGCCCCUUGGCUCCUUCUGGGGUCUCCGACAAAUGGAUCAAGAGGCCCUGGCCUCUUCGUGGGCUUCCUGCUGCGGGCAGCCUCUGGCAUACCACCCCCCACGCCCAGGAAGUGGUGCGCAUAAGCUGGGACCAGCCCUGUCCACGGGGCCCCGGGGCCUGUGUGCUCUGCCAGAGACAGGGGAUGCAUUUGAGGAAACGCCUCCGACUACAUGCCUCCCACACAAGCGGUCUGUGCAGAUCGCAUCUGACGCCUACCCGGAGGACUCAGCUGUUCUGUUUACAUCGUGGCGGCACCUCUCACCCUGACCCUCGCAAAGGUUCUGGAGAUUUCUGGAGAAUAUAUUUGUUAAAGUCACCUCUUCACUUAA
Molecule: long non-coding RNA, 960 nt
Filed under: Homo sapiens (human)
Lineage: Eukaryota; Metazoa; Chordata; Mammalia; Primates; Hominidae
Description: non-protein coding lnc-KAT2B-12:1
Source: RNAcentral